AUGAUAGCAGUUGAUUGGACUCGUUUUCAGCGUAAAGUAUUAGCAAUGAUCAGCUUCUAUUUUGGAGUUUGUGGUGGUUUUCCAGAGUUCCUCACCUUUAGAAAUGCCUCCUUCUGCUCCAUGUGUUUGCUGAUGAGCGGCACCAGCUGCUCCGGCUGUCUUUCUCCUCCUGCACACCAGUCCUCCUCCCUGCGGUACUCCUGCUCUAGACUCUCCAGGACACCACACACCUGGAAACAGGCAGAGCCAGGGCCACCUGAUGGGUCCUCUGCAGGGAGUCAGCAUGAAGGAGAGACUGGAGAAAAAGACAAGGCACAGCACAUCCACUUCAUUUCCGUUAAUCCGUCGGGAGGACUUUGUGUGUGAGAGUCCCUGUUGUUGUGGUAACCUCUAAAGCUGACUGCUGUGAUGGACUGCAAACACAUCAGACUCAUCCUCGGCAUGAGGGCAGGGUCAUUUAUUCGCUGUCAUGCAGGGUUUCCCACAGGAAACCAUUUAGCUGAGCUGGUAAGCUGCUCAGAGUUUGAUGCAUUUCGUGUUGUGAUAACCUGAAGUCUGAAGAACAGCCACACAUAUUUACAUCUAUACAUCUAUAUGUAAAUUACUCAGAAAGGGCAAUGUUAUGGUAAGUCUAUAAAUACUUUCUUCUUAAAAUACUGAACAGAUAUUUUUUUAGUGUUUGUUACUGUCUUAUCUUUUUUUUAGAAAAACUGUUUAGAGAUGUUUCUAUAUUUUUUUCUGUAAAGUGGAGAAAAUCCAUAUUUUUAUGCUGUUUAGAAACCUGAUAUCUUAGCAUAGUUUUGAUGUAGAAGCCAUUUAAGAAUUCUCCUUUUUCUUACUUCUGCUGAUUGGAGUGUAUUGUUUGCAUUGUGUGUGCAAUAACCUCUAUGGCCUGUUGGAGACGCUCAUGCUCCCUUUGCAGUUGCUCAGCUUCAGACAAACAGCUGGAAUUCAACAUGCAGGACGAUAACAUGACCUCCCCCUCAGAGAUCCAACCCAGCACCUGAGACAGAUACACAGGGAUGGAGACAGGUCAGCAUCAUCACCUUUAGUCCCCACUUGGCACCUGGCACCUGUUCAUCUGUGUGUGUUACCUGUUUAACCUGGCUCUGCAGGUGUCUCAGCUGCAGAUUCUGUUCCAGGUGUGUGUGUAUGAGAUCUGCAAUCUGCUGCAGCUCCUUCUGUUUGUCCUGCAGGAGGUGCUGCAGCUCCUCCACCUGAGAGGAGAUUCCUCCUUCUGCCUCGGACAGCUCGAUACCUGACACACACACACACAUACAGAUACACACAUUUUAGACCUUCAAAGAGAGGGCGUUUUGGGUGCUAACAUCCCCACAAGUACACUAAGACAGCUGUUUGUGUAUAUCUCUGUUCACAUGUGUAUGGAUGCAUGAACCAAGGCAAGUUUUUGCUGGUGUGUGUGUGUGUGUGUCUGUGUGUCUCCAUGGCAAAUUCAAUACGCUGGUUUCUAUGGGGACCAGCUGUGUGCUUCAGAGAACAGUUUCCA
Molecule: long non-coding RNA, 1507 nt
Filed under: Oreochromis niloticus (Nile tilapia)
Lineage: Eukaryota; Metazoa; Chordata; Actinopteri; Cichliformes; Cichlidae
Description: lncRNA (ENSONIG00000036076.1)
Source: RNAcentral